RNAcentral lists this long non-coding RNA (1877 nucleotides) under Sus scrofa (pig). Its description in RNAcentral is "lncRNA (ENSSSCG00065036955.1)". The record is from RNAcentral. Lineage: Eukaryota; Metazoa; Chordata; Mammalia; Artiodactyla; Suidae.
AGGUUACAGGGAUGAUGCUACUAACAGUAAAAGUUGAGUCAUAUGGUUUCACGGAUAAGUCCUAAGGAUCAACCAGGAAGUUGCUUUAUCUGGCCACCCUCCACCAAUGCACAGCUUGACCAAUGGCACAACCUACAAGCCGAUUUCAAGGUCACUGCAAGCACCACUCGUUAGCUGGAGGAGCUGGAGGCACCGUGCACUUUCACUGCUGGGGAAGGGCUUGCUGUUGCCCAAAGAAUGUGGAUCGGCCCAGCAUUUUGUUCCACCCCAGAACCAGGCUUCUGGUAUUGAAGAGUGAUAUCCUUCUGUUGGAAGCAGUUCAGUUUCUAUUUAUGGGAGGCAGUGUUCUCAAAGUGUAGAUCUCCAGGACACCUGCAUUAGAAUCCUGGAGGGCUUGUAAAAAUGCAAAUGUCUGACUCCCAGGAAUUCCUGCUGAAUUAGACUCAGCAUGAAAGAUGGAGAGCCGAGGGUAGCAAUUAAGAACACGGGUUCUCAUAUAUAUGGACUAACUCCAAGCUCCAGCUUCUCUACCGACACCUGUGGACCGUGGGCAGAGUAUUUAACCUCUCUGGGUCUCCAUUUCAUCACCUGUGCAAAGGGAAUGCAGAACAGUCAAGAGAUUUGGAACUCACGUGGUUGUUUAAAGAAUGAAAUGGAAUAACACAUAUUCUGCAAUGUUUGGCAAGCAGUAAAUGUUCACCAUGAGAUAACUCUUCAGAAAGUCUUAGGAUCCUAUGAGAAAUAAUAAACUUGGCCAUGACAACCAGUGUUAAGAUCCCUGCUCGUACUUCCUACAGGUACAGGUUUUGACAAGUCUACAGACCAGCAACCAGACCUGAAGGUAUUGUGAUCAGUUUGAACUCCACCAGGACUCUCCCUGAGCCUCAACAAUGGACCAGCCAGGAGAGGGCAGCAGGAGAGAGCCAGAGACUAACGUUGUUGCUGUCAGAAUCACAAUGUUUAUGAGUUAGGGGCACUCACUUGGUGUGUCCAGGUUGGUCCUAAUUUCAAGAGACACUAAAUCUGGUGAAUGCAGGUCUGGUAGCAUGGAUUACAUGCUGGGUGGGUGUACAUUAGUACUGUGGGUGGUGGCUGUCCACCUGACUUCUGAUUUUCAUAGAUUAUUUACUUCAGGAAGUCACACAAGCAUCAAUAUAUUGUAGGAAACAACACAGCUCAAUUGCAACGUAGAUAUUGAGAGAUCAUUUAAAGCCAGGGUGGGCAAUUUUUUUGGUAGCGUCUGUGAGCUAAGAAUGGUUUUCCUAUUUUUAAAGGGUUGUCAAAAAGAAGGAGGAGCAGGGGGAGGAGAAAUAAUGACAGUGUGGUAGUUAAUUUCAUGCGUCAACUUGACUGGGUCACAGGGAACCCAGAUACUGGAUUAAACAUUAUUUCGGGGGGGGGGCAUUUCCAGAUGAGAUUAGUAUUUGAACCGAUAGACUGAGUAAAGGAGAUGGCCCUCCCCAGGGUGCAGGGGUUUCAUCCAAUCCAUCAAGGGCCUCAACAGAGCAAGAAGGCUGAGGAAGGGAGACUUUGCUCUUUCCGCCUAUGAGCGCUGGGACAGUGGUCUUUCCCUGCCCUCUGAUGGGAACUUACACCACCAUUGUUCCUGGUCCUCAGGCCUUUGGACUUGAGCUGGAACUACACCACCAGCUUCCUGGGGCUCCAGCUUGCAGACAGCAAGCCGAUCAUGAUGAUUCUCGGUUUCCAUAAUUCCAUGAGCCAAUUCCAUCUAUCUACCUAUCUACCUAUUCAUCUAUCUAUUUAUUCAUUUAUCUAUCUAUCUAUCUAUCUAUCUAUCUAUCUAUCUAUCUAUCUACUUAUCUAUAUCUCCUGUUGGUUUUGUUUCUUUGGAGAAGCAUGACUAAUAGAAACAGAGA